Molecule: ribosomal RNA, 753 nt
Filed under: uncultured soil bacterium
Lineage: Bacteria
Description: bacterial SSU rRNA
Rfam family: Bacterial small subunit ribosomal RNA
Source: RNAcentral
GACAUGCAAGUCGCACGGGACUUUUCCAAGUAGCAAUACGAGGAAAAGUUUAGUGGCGCACGGGUGAGUAACACGUGAAUGACAUGCCCUAUAGUGGGGAAUAGCCCAGGGAAACUUGGAUUAAUACCCCAUGGUCUCGCGAGAGUAAAGGUGGCUUGGCAACAAGCUGUCGCUAUAGGAUUGGUUCGCGCCCUAUCAGCUUGUUGGCGGGGCAACGGCCCACCAAGGCUACGACAGGUACCUGGUCUGAGAGGACGAUCACGCACACUGGAACUGACACACGGUCCAUACACCUACGGGUGGCAGCAGUCCAGAAUAAUUCACAAUGGGGGCAACCCUGAUGGUGCAACGCCGCGUGGAGGAUGACGGUCUUCAGAUUGUAAACUCCUGUCAUCCGGGAGCAAGACCUGGCCAUGAAUAGCGGACAGGGUUGAUAGUACCGGAAGACGAAUGGACGGCUAACUUCGUGCCAGCAGCCGCGGUAAUACGAACGUCCCGAGCGUUGUUCGGAAUCACUGGGCGUAAACGGAGCGUAGGCGGCGUGGUAAGUCAGAUGUGAAAUCCCGGGGCUCAACCCCGGAACUGCAUCCGAUACUGCCGUGCUAGAUGAUUGGAGAGGUAGCUGGAAUUCUUGGUGUAGCAGUGAAAUGCGUGGAGAUCAAGAGGAACACUCGUGGCGAAAGCCAGCUACUGGACAAUAUCUGACGCUGAGGCUCGAGAGCCUAGGUAGCGAAAGGGAUUAGAUACCCCUGU